CCCCGAAGGAAGCGAUCUGUGUGCCAAUCUAUCUAGAUCAAUCACCAUCCUCAUGAUGAUACUAUGAUUGGAAGUAUUUAAAAAUUUUAUAUAUACCUCUAAUUCUCAAUACUUUAAGAAUAUGUAUCAAAGUAUUAAUUUCAUGGAUGAUUCAAGAACACAUCACUCUUGAAUGAAAAUUUAACUUCUUCUUUUAUUGAUUAAAUCAAUAUUUUAAGCAUAAAAUUA
Molecule: long non-coding RNA, 228 nt
Filed under: Elaeis guineensis (African oil palm)
Lineage: Eukaryota; Viridiplantae; Streptophyta; Magnoliopsida; Arecales; Arecaceae
Description: long non-coding RNA (EGUI_LNC064352)
Source: RNAcentral